UGAUCACUCUCCUUACAAUGUGUAUGAUAAUCAAGGUGGGCCAUUUCCAGCACAAAUCCAGGGUUUAACAAGAACGUCUGGGGGGGGGGGGGGGGUUAGGAAAAAACAAGGGGAAAUAGGUUACCUUGCAUAAUGACUUAGCCACUCCCAGUCUCUAUUCAAGCCUAAGUUAAUUGUAUCCAAUUUGCAAAUGAAUUCCAAUUCAACAGUUUCUCGCUGGAGUCUGGAUUUGAAGUUUUUUUUGUUGUAAAAUAGCAACUUUCAUGUCUGUAAUCGCGUGACCAGAGAGAUUGAAGUGUUCUCCGACUGGUUUAUGAAUGUUAUAAUUCUUGACAUCUGAUUUGUGUCCAUUUAUUCUUUUACGUAGAGACUGUCCAGUUUGACCAAUGUACAUGGCAGAGGGGCAUUGCUGGCACAUGAUGGCAUAUAUCAUAUUGGUGGAUGUGCAGGUGAACGAGCCUCUGAUAGUGUGGCUGAUGUUAUUAGGCCCUGUGAUGGUGUCCCCUGAAUAGAUAUGUGGGCACAAUUGGCAACGGGCUUUGUUGCAAGGAUAAGUUCCUGGGUUAGUGGUUCUGUUGUGUGGUAUGUGGUUGUUGGUGAGUAUUUGGUUCAGGUUGCGGGCUGUCUGUAGGCAAGGACUGGCCUGUCUCCCAAGACUUGUGAGAGUGUUGGGUCAUCCUUUAGGAUAGGUUGUAGAUCCUUAAUAAUGCGUUGGAGGGGUUUUAGUUGGGGGCUGAAGGUGACCGCUAGUGGCGUUCUGUUAUUUUCUUUGUUAGGCCUGUCCUCUAGUAGGUAACUUCUGGGAACUCUUCUGGCUCUAUCAAUCUGUUUCUUUACUUCUGCAGGUGGGUAUUGUAGUUGUAAGAAAGCUUGACAGAGAUCUUGUAGGUGUUUGUCUCUGUCUGACGGGUUGGAGCAAAUGCGGUUGUAUCGCAGAGCUUGGCUGUAGACGAUGGAUCGUGUGGUGUGGUCAGGGUGAAAGCUGGAGGCAUGCAGGUAGGAAUAGCGGUCAGUAGGUUUCCGGUAUAGGGUGGUGUUUAUGUGGCCAUUGUUUAUUAGCACUGUAGUGUCCAGGAAGUGGAUCUCUUGUCGUUGUUCUAAAUCAGCCAUAAAAAUGUUGGCAUACUGUGGGGCCAUGCGGGUACCCAUAGCAGUGCCGCUGAUCUGAAGGUAUACAUUGUCCCCAAAUGUGAAAUAGUUAUGGAUAAGGACAAAGUCACAAAGUUCAGCCACCAGGUUAGCCGUGACAUUAUCGGGGAUAGUGUUCUUGACGGCUUGUAGUCCAUCUUUGUGUGGAAUGUUGGUGUAGAGGGCUUCUACAUCCAUAGUAGCCAGGAUGGUGUUAUCAGGAAGAUCACCGAUGGAUUGAAGUUUCCUCAGGAAGUCAGUGGUGUCUCGAAGGUAGCUGGGAGUGCUGGUAGCGUAGGGCCU
Caretta caretta (loggerhead turtle) is the source of this 1431-nucleotide non-coding RNA. The record is from RefSeq and is a predicted model, not a curated record. NCBI's taxonomy places the organism in Eukaryota, Metazoa, Chordata, Testudines, Cheloniidae.